This is a long non-coding RNA of Choloepus didactylus (southern two-toed sloth), 2357 nucleotides long. RefSeq lists it as uncharacterized. NCBI's taxonomy places the organism in Eukaryota, Metazoa, Chordata, Mammalia, Pilosa, Megalonychidae. The record is from RefSeq and is a predicted model, not a curated record. The transcript has 3 exons.
UGUGGGGAUUGGGGGAUGUUUUGGGGGGAGAUUUCCUUCUAUAGUAAACUGUUGGCGUUGUCUUACCCUCCCACCCUCUCCUUGCUUCUAGGCUUUGGACACAAUUUGUGAGGACAUGAUACUAAGUGCUGCAACCAUUUUGUGACCAGUAGGGGCCCCCCCACAAAAUCAUAGAGAAACCGGCCCAGAGCUGGUCAGGAACCACAUGAGAAAAACCACCUACGAAUGUUUAAGCCAUCUUUAGUCAGGCCCACCAUCCCUUGCAGCUGAAAAGCUUUCCUGAUGGACACUUUUUGUCAAGGAAGCAUUCUUCUGUCACCAGUUUUCUGAGCUGUGCCUUAAGUAGGCACUGCAAGUUGAAGUACAAAGCCAAAUAUGGGCCCUUAAAACAGAGCAGGUGAGAGCUAGGAGUAUUGGGUGAGAAAUGCAGAAAUGGAGCAACAACAUCAUGGCAAAGGGGAGGCUAGUCCCAAGGUGGGAAUUAUGUUUUCAUCCAGUAUGAUUUGUAGAUCAGAGCUUUUUAGAGGUUCAUAGAGAAGCAGAAGAUCCCCAUUUACAAAAUUGUGGGAGCCCUCAGGAAUGCCCUCGGGAGGGAGCUUCCGUCAUUACUUUCUGUGCCACAUUUAACCAGGAUUCAGUGCAUGUUCAUGACGCCCAGAUGAGAAUCUCUGGUCAAGACCUUUUCUUGAGCUCCAGACACAAAUGUAGUCACGUUACUUCUUGCUUAAAACCUCAAAGUUUCCCACAUUCCUUGGAUAAACUAUGAAUGACUCAUCUAUCCCCAUAAAUUCCCAAUGGUCUACUUCUCCAGCUCAUCUCUUGCACGUCCCCCCACUGCCCUUCCCUAACCCAUGAAAACAAUCUCAGUUCCCCCAGUGCCCAAGCCCUCUUUGCCUAGCUAACUUCUUCCCUUCCUUUUCCCUAAUUCUAGACUCUGAAGCUAUUCCUGCUUUAUGCUCCCUCAGUUUCCUAAAUUCCCCUACCAAGUGAUUGAUCAUAUUUUAUGGCAUUUUAUGGCUGCUGGUUCUUCAUUUGGUUGUAUCCCAUCACAGUAGAUGUUUUUGGCUUCCUAAACUCCUUUCUCUCUUUCUUCUGGAGAGUGAUUCUCCCUCUUUGUGAAGAGUUUCAGGAGGACUGCCAGGCGCUCCACCCGUCAUGGAGUGAGCGCAGGGCCCACCCCAGGCUGGUCCACCUCUCCUGGGACUGUGCAGGUGGAGCUGAGCAACCGUGAGGAGCAACAAAUGACCAACCGACUGACUGACCGAGGCUGGAGCCCGUUUCUCUGAGCGGCAUUGAGCAAUAUCCACCAGUGCUUAGAACAAUAAUCAGGCCCAUGGAGAGGAACAAGUAAGAGACUAGAUGAUUGUGUGGCCUGAUAGGAAAACCCAACAUGCUUGGAUACCAUGAAGAUUGGCUUCACUCAAAUGCCACCUCUUCUUUGUCACCUUCCCUGAUAUGUCAAUAUGAACGAAAUCUCAGCAGUGAAGAGUACAUGUUGGAGGUGGUGAUCAGGAAAGGGGUUGUGGGAGGAGGUGGGAUUGGAGCUGGACCUUGAACCGUGGAUAUUGCUUCAAUAAACAGAAGUGGGGUGAACUCUGUGCAGGAAAGGGCUGCAUCUGCCUUGUUCUGCUGGGUCUCCUGGCCUUAUUAGGGUAGUGAGCAUAAAGUAAACAGUAUAAAAUUUUUGAAUGAAUCAUAUAUAAAUGAGCAAAGACAAUGGGAAAAAAAACCACUUAAUAUGUCUGAUGAACAUAAGGUCCACUUGCCAGGAACAGAGAGUGCUAGUGGGAAAUGAGAGCACACAUGGAGGGCUCAGCCAAGCUGAUGACAGCCUUGAAGCGGGGAAGGGAAGUCCUGGUUAGUGCUGCCUGUGUAACUGAGUGCACUCCACCUAUCUGGUGUGGCUGGUGGGCCAUUCGCUGAGGAGUCCUUCAGGGAGAGACAAGGUGGUACUGAGGAACUGGGGAAGUGUUAAAGGAGGAGAUAAUUUUGUGGCAAUGAGGCUCUACCAGAGUGGGGCAUCCUCAAAUUGCACUUGAAGUUGGUCCUGCCUAUGGGAGAAUCUCGGUUCCCGCAGUGCAGGCAGGAGGUGAGCAUGGAAAGACCCACAUUUGGUUCUCUUGGACCCUUUCUCCUCCCUGGAUUGAGGCAGGGUAGGGCCCAUGGCCUAGCCCCCCAGUCACAUCACCUCCCUGGUGACCUUGCUCACUGCCAUCGCUUCAGAACUUGUCAGGAACGAUCUUCCUACCUCUUCUUGGCCAGUUCCUGGGCCUUCACAGCUGCACUGACUGAAGUUCCUGCAGGAAGCUUUCUCUGGAAAUCUGAGUGGCUUUGUGUCCCACCCCGCCUUUCUCACA